This is a long non-coding RNA of Schistocerca piceifrons (Central American locust), 1352 nucleotides long. RefSeq lists it as uncharacterized. The record is from RefSeq and is a predicted model, not a curated record. NCBI's taxonomy places the organism in Eukaryota, Metazoa, Arthropoda, Insecta, Orthoptera, Acrididae. The transcript has 4 exons.
AGACCAUAAUUGUUUUAUUCUAGUGUUAGUUUUGCGGAUUUCGUUAUUCACACGCAUUAUACAUGAGGUCGUGUCUGAGGUAUCGUCACAACAACAGUGUUUUUCAUCAUAUUUACGUUUAAAAAAUCCCUCAAACCUGUUAUGCACUUUCCGGCUUUGCUGUGAGCUACGUCGUUGGCACCCGUCACACAAACAACGAUGUCACUGUUCUUCAGUGUAUUCCCGUGUUCUGAGACACGACUUUUUAUCGGGACAUUUCAGGAGGGCAUGUGGAAAGACUUGAUACUGUUGACAGUAUAUGCAUAACUGCUUUGAAACUAUUCACAGUGCGACGCAUUUUCCGUAGCUGCUGUGUGUUUCCGGUUACAGACACGGGAAGUCAAGAGCAAUAAUAUUGUGGUUGGGCAAUAAGAGUGAACAGUGAAAACUUAAGGAAAAUCCGAUAACAUUGGCAUGGGCACCUAGUUCAUCUGAUAUUAAAUGACGCAGAUAACUAAUUAAACCAUUAUUAGCAAGAAAUUGCCCCAGCUGGAACUGCCCGUUAUUAUUCUGAGUCGAUCCAGUAGAAGGUACGUCCUGCAUCCGUAACAGACGGCUCUCGAGUGUCAACGAUUUACGAGAAUAGAAGGCUGGGAAUUCGCAGACUAGCUGCCCCAUUGCGACUCUGCGGCCACGAACUUGGGAAGGCUGACGGUUGUGGAUACACCCUCGCACGUCGCUAAGCAACCAAGACUACCCGAACACUCCAAAGGCCGCACAGCUGCUACGUGAAACGAGUUCUUAACGAGGUUGUGUGAUGUCCCCUGAUGAGUUCUGUUCUGCCCGUGGUGAACACAGUUUAUUGAAAAAUAGACAGAACAUCACUAACUUCAUAAAGUAAACAUAUUUGGCAUCUUUGGUAUUCAUAUUGUGGAUAAAGAACAGCCAAGCACUCCCUAUGGGCCAGCACCAAUUUCACCUGACAGAACUCUUGUAGGGCUGCCCUUGUUUUUACUUGUAAGAUCUGUUGCAGCCUUCAUCAGAAGAAGAAGAUUUAUGGAAAAUGGUCUCUGGAUGAAAACAGACACAACACUGGUGCAAUAUUCUACAAUAUUUAUUAUUUGUUCCACAAACAGUUUAUUGGCUGUUACACCAUCAUCUGGUACAAAGUUAAGUGUAUGGUGCAGAGAUAUUCUGUUGGGUCAAAGAUUUUAAACCAGUGCAUCUACACUGUAUCUUCAUUUCCAGAUAUGAAAAUGUUUAGCAAUGAAAUAAUGUUAUUUCAGUGUAAAUGUAAUAUAAUCUUUUGUAACUAAGAGAAAAUAUGUGACAAAUCAACAGAUGAAUGAUGUACAAAUUAAAACAGUUGUUUA